Molecule: long non-coding RNA, 815 nt
Filed under: Brassica napus (rape)
Lineage: Eukaryota; Viridiplantae; Streptophyta; Magnoliopsida; Brassicales; Brassicaceae
Description: long non-coding RNA (BNAP_LNC009782)
Source: RNAcentral
UCUUUUCUUCCCCAACUCGAGCCGCUGCUUCGACGAAUUCUCAACCCUAGCAACUCGUCUUUUUCGUAUGAUUCUCACAUCUCUCCGACCACUAGGUUGGUUCUUCACUCUCUUCUCUAGUUCCGUGUAGUUUUUGAGUUUGUGAUUGAUUUGAGAGUUAGGGUUUCUGUCGAAAUCAAUUAGGGGUUUAUGAUUCAGCUUGAAUGAUGGAUCGAUUAUCAGUGUGAGAGUGUCUCUAAGUGUUUGAUUUGGAUAGAAUGAUGAGUUCGGAUGAAUUUAAGAUUUAGGAUUUUGGUCGAAAUCGGUUUGGGGUUAGAUGUUUAGGGUGGGUUCAGGUCGAAGGGUUGGUCGAUUAUGAGUGUCUUGUGUUUGUCCAUCGAUACUCUUUGUCUCUCUUUAACUUGAUUUUUUUCAUCUUAUUAUCAGGAGUAAAUCAUGCUGAUAAAAAGAAAAGAUCGACUUUCCUUUCCAUUGUGUAGAGAAUCGAAUCUCAUCAUUAGAUUUAGAGGUAAUGUUAACAUGUCUCGACAGCUUUGUGUCUUUUGUGUUUCUGUCUGUUUUUCCAGUGAUUUUCUGACUUUAAUAAGUUGCAGGUUGCAGGUUGGUGGAGUUCAAGCGUAAUGGUGACCUUUAGUUUCUAUUGUUUUGUUUUGUCACUCUUUGUGAUUUGUUGGACAUUAUAAUUGUUGGACAUUAUAGAUUUAAAGAUUUAGAAUGUUGGAUCUUUUUCGUUGAUUGAUAAAGAAUGAACAAUAUAUAUGCUGGUUUUGUUGAAUAUGCUUGUUUUGCUGAUAAAUGUGAAUUUUUCAAGUCAU